Molecule: non-coding RNA, 144 nt
Filed under: Chloroflexota bacterium
Lineage: Bacteria; Bacillati; Chloroflexota
Description: Chloroflexi bacterium SAM-I sequence
Rfam family: SAM riboswitch aptamer (S box leader)
About the family: The SAM riboswitch is found upstream of a number of genes which code for proteins involved in methionine or cysteine biosynthesis in Gram-positive bacteria. The SAM riboswitch acts at the level of transcription termination control.
Source: RNAcentral
CUCUUAUCCAGAGAGGCGGAGGGACCGGCCCUGUGAAGCCUCGGCAACCUAUGUAUGAUUGGUUGAAUGCCAUUCGUACGGAAGGUGCCAAUUCCGGCAGUAGCGGUAAUCUUAACGGAUUACCCAAAUUCUGGAAGAUGGGAG